Molecule: ribosomal RNA, 519 nt
Filed under: uncultured eukaryote
Lineage: Eukaryota
Description: bacterial SSU rRNA
Rfam family: Eukaryotic small subunit ribosomal RNA
Source: RNAcentral
AAGGCCACCACCAGGAGUGGAGCCUGCGGCUUAAUUUGCUCAACACGGGAAAACUCUCCCGGCCCGGACACCGUGCGGAUUGACCGAUUGAGAGCUCUUUCUUAAGUCGUGGGGUGUGGAUGCAUGGCCGUUCUUAGUUGAGGGAGCAAUUUGUCUGGUUAAUUCCCAUAAUCCACGAUCCUCAGGCCUAUUAAAUCUGCGGUGUAUCGCUCAGUAGUCCGUACUUCUUACAGGUCAAAGCGGCGUCUAGCCCCAUGAUAUUGAGCAAUAACAGGUCUGUGAUGACCUUAGAUGUCCGGCACUGCACGGCCACUACCCUGAAAGAGUCAGAGUGCCUCGCCGCUUACGCCGGAAGGACUGCUCCUCCCCCCUGACUUCUUUCCUGCUUGCGAUACUGAAUUGCAAUUAUUUCACUUGAACGAGGACUUCCCAGAUAGCGUGCGUUAUAAGCUCGCGUUGAUUUCGUCCCUGCCCUUGUGUACACACCUGCCGUUACUACUACCGAUUGCACCAUUCUCG